AACGAACGCUGGCGGCAUGCCUAACACAUGCAAGUCGAACGAGACCUUCGGGUCUAGUGGCGCACGGGUGCGUAACGCGUGGGAAUCUGCCCUUGGGUUCGGGAUAACAGUUGGAAACGACUGCUAAUACCGGAUGAUGUCUUCGGACCAAAGAUUUAUCGCCCAAGGGUGGGCCCGCGUAGGAUUAGCUUGUUGGUGAGGUAAGAGCUCACCAAGGCGACGAUCCUUAGCUGGUCUGAGAGGAUGAUCAGCCACACUGGGACUGAGACACGGCCCAGACUCCGACGGGAGGCAGCAGUGGGGAAUAUUGGACAAUGGGCGAAAGCCUGAUCCAGCAAUGCCGCGUGAGUGAUGAAGGCCUUAGGGUUGUAAAGCUCUUUUACCCGGGAUGAUAAUGACAGUACCGGGAGAAUAAGCCCCGGCUAACUCCGUGCCAGCCGCCGCGGUAA
Molecule: ribosomal RNA, 449 nt
Filed under: uncultured bacterium
Lineage: Bacteria
Description: partial 16S ribosomal RNA
Rfam family: Bacterial small subunit ribosomal RNA
Source: RNAcentral